AGACCCGAAACCCGGUGAUCUAGCCAUGGGCAGGUUGAAGGUUGGGUAACACUAACUGGAGGACCGAACCGACUAAUGUUGAAAAAUUAGCGGAUGACCUGUGGCUGGGGGUGAAAGGCCAAUCAAACCGGGAGAUAGCUGGUUCUCCCCGAAAGCUAUUUAGGUAGCGCCUCGUGAAUUCAUCUCCGGGGGUAGAGCACUGUUUCGGCUAGGGGGCCAUCCCGGCUUACCAACCCGAUGCAAACUGCGAAUACCGGAGAAUGUUAUCACGGGAGACACACGGCGGGUGCUAACGUCCGUCGUGAAGAGGGAAACAACCCAGACCGCCAGCUAAGGUCCCAAAGUCAUGGUUAAGUGGGAAACGAUGUGGGAAGGCCCAGACAGCCAGGAUGUUGGCUUAGAAGCAGCCAUCAUUUAAAGAAAGCGUAAUAGCUCACUGGUCGAGUCGGCCUGCGCGGAAGAUGUAACGGGGCUAAACCAUGCACCGAAGCUGCGGCAGCGACACUCAGGUGUUGUUGGGUAGGGGAGCGUUCUGUAAGCCUGCGAAGGUGGCCUGUGAGGGUUGCUGGAGGUAUCAGAAGUGCGAAUGCUGACAUAAGUAACGAUAAAGCGGGUGAAAAGCCCGCUCGCCGGAAGACCAAGGGUUCCUGUCCAACGUUAAUCGGGGCAGGGUGAGUCGACCCCUAAGGCGAGGCCGAAAGGCGUAGUCGAUGGGAAACGGGUUAAUAUUCCCGUACUUGGUGUUACUGCGAAGGGGGGACGGAGAAGGCUAUGUUGGCCGGGCGACGGUUGUCCCGGUUUAAGCGUGUAGGUGUGUGUUCCAGGUAAAUCCGGUUCACUUUAACACUGAGGCGUGACGACGAGGCACUACGGUGCUGAAGCAACAAAUGCCCUGCUUCCAGGAAAAGCCUCUAAGCAUCAGGUAACAUCAAAUCGUACCCCAAACCGACACAGGUGGUCAGGUAGAGAAUACCAAGGCGCUUGAGAGAACUCGGGUGAAGGAACUAGGCAAAAUGGUGCCGUAACUUCGGGAGAAGGCACGCUGACAUGUAGGUGAAGUGAUUUACUCAUGGAGCUGAAGUCAGUCGAAGAUACCAGCUGGCUGCAACUGUUUAUUAAAAACACAGCACUGUGCAAACACGAAAGUGGACGUAUACGGUGUGACGCCUGCCCGGUGCCGGAAGGUUAAUUGAUGGGGUCAGCGCAAGCGAAGCUCCUGAUCGAAGCCCCGGUAAACGGCGGCCGUAACUAUAACGGUCCUAAGGUAGCGAAAUUCCUUGUCGGGUAAGUUCCGACCUGCACGAAUGGCGUAAUGAUGGCCAGGCUGUCUCCACCCGAGACUCAGUGAAAUUGAACUCGCUGUGAAGAUGCAGUGUACCCGCGGCAAGACGGAAAGACCCCGUGAACCUUUACUAUAGCUUGACACUGAACAUUGAGCCUUGAUGUGUAGGAUAGGUGGGAGGCUUUGAAGUGUGGACGCCAGUCUGCAUGGAGCCG
RNAcentral lists this ribosomal RNA (1497 nucleotides) under Salmonella enterica. Its description in RNAcentral is "partial 23S ribosomal RNA". It matches the Rfam family "Bacterial large subunit ribosomal RNA", at positions 711 to 2188 of the family's 2925-position model. Lineage: Bacteria; Pseudomonadati; Pseudomonadota; Gammaproteobacteria; Enterobacterales; Enterobacteriaceae. The record is from RNAcentral. RNAcentral also lists the same sequence under 1 other name.